UCUCUCGUUUUCCCUGGCUAUUUUCCCUCUUUCUAUUACAACCGACAUCGUUAUCAUCUCCAUCAGAACCAAACCUUCAUUGUCGCCGAAGAAGAAAGGUAUCCUCAUUACCAAAAGAUUUUUAUUUCACUUUUAUGAAGUAAACCCAAGAUUCAGAUUUUUUUAUCUUCCACUUCAAAAUCUUUAACCCGAUUCUAAUCUAAGCUGAUAUAUGCUCAAUAUGCUAUAAUCUGGAUUACCCAUAACAUGUUUUUGUUCUCAAAUCAUCUACAAUUUACAAAUUUUCGACCUAAUGAGGGAAAUCAGAGUUAAUCGAUUGCAAGUGUUUUUCUCUGUUCUGUGGGUGUUAUUGGCACGAGACUUCCCCCAAAAUCCCUUCUCUUUUUUCAGAAGAUUUCUUAGAAACCCACUUGAGUCAUUAACUCUUUCAGGGGAGAGAUAUGAUAGGUAGUGAAAGAACUGGCACAUGGAUAAAAUCAUUAAAUUUAAUGAGGUACAUGGAACCAGGAUGAGAUGAUCAAGUUAGGCAGGCUCAUUGAAUCCUACAAGGGAAAUGGAGAGUGUUUUGGACGAACAAUCAAUUAAAAAUGGUUUGGAUCAUUGUGGAGAGGAAACACAACCAAUGUCAUCCGUUACUUCCCUACUCAGGUUGGAUCAUAUGUGUUUUCAAUCCAAAGAGUAAAAGGAGGCAGAUUUCAUCUACUCAAUUUAUGAGAGGAAUUCAUCCUCCUGCUGCAGAUUAUCUAAGCUACAAAGAGAAUUCAAAUAUCCAAACAAUGCAAUGGAGGUAGAAGAGAACGGAGAGCAGUGAAUCCAGGAAGAAGAGGCUGUUGAGGUCGAUGCUGAUUCUACAGAUGGCGCUGUACUUGUAAACAGUAAUAAAGCUGAAGAAGAAUGGGGUACAACUAAUUAAGGAAACUUAUCAUCCUAAAAGCUAUUGGUUUGGCUAAAUAGGUCGCAGAUAUGAGCAAUAAGUGCCACUAUUUACAAGGCUGGUUAUGAAGCAACAAGAAGCUAUACUUGUUUGAGCAUGUAGGUAAUGAAUGAUGUUGAGCUUGUCUCCAGGUCUUGUGCCUUUACGAUUGUAUAUACUACUGCUAUUACACAUAGGAAAUAUUUAUAUACUCGUCAUUCUUUUGAUACUGCACAGAAUUUGUAUGUCCUUGGAACUUAAGAAAUACUUCUAGCUACAUCUUGGAACUUAAACAAUUUACAUGUAUUGCCUAAGUUGUUGUUCUUUGUCAUACUUUUCAGAGGUAUACGGAAUAACUCUUUAGUUUA
This is a long non-coding RNA of Papaver somniferum (opium poppy), 1281 nucleotides long. RefSeq lists it as uncharacterized. The record is from RefSeq and is a predicted model, not a curated record. The transcript has 6 exons. NCBI's taxonomy places the organism in Eukaryota, Viridiplantae, Streptophyta, Magnoliopsida, Ranunculales, Papaveraceae.